AGAGGAAAAAGGGAACGACGGGUGUUCACAAGUUCGGUGGGGGAACGGAGGAGAUUUUGGGAACAAUUGAUGAUAUGCCUGUAUCUGCGUAAUUCAUUCAUAUGCUUCAGACUGCUGCUGCAGGACUUCCACUUUUGUAAUAUAUGACGAGUUUCUUCUCAGGCAAGGCGGGGUUUGGUUAUGUUUACGUUUAAUGAUUCUUCCAUAAUGUAUGUAUUUAAUCAAGCAAUUUCUUCUCGUUGAAGAAGGGAAAGGAUCUAUUAAUAGGUCAAUGUAUUGAACUAUUAGCUGCAUGUGGUGUACUGGGUUUAUGUACAGAGUAGUUACAUCAUAUGAAGCACACUGACACCCC
RNAcentral lists this small RNA (352 nucleotides) under Histoplasma capsulatum. Its description in RNAcentral is "hypothetical RNA". The record is from RNAcentral. Lineage: Eukaryota; Fungi; Ascomycota; Eurotiomycetes; Onygenales; Ajellomycetaceae. RNAcentral also lists the same sequence under 1 other name.